RNAcentral lists this long non-coding RNA (524 nucleotides) under Fragaria vesca (wild strawberry). RNAcentral describes it as "long non-coding RNA (FVES_LNC003857)". The record is from RNAcentral. Lineage: Eukaryota; Viridiplantae; Streptophyta; Magnoliopsida; Rosales; Rosaceae.
CUGGGCCGCCGGCUUCGGUGAUGCCAUCAUACCCUGUUUCCAGUCAGCCUGUUGGUGCCUAUCCCUCCCAGCAUUUUAACCCAGGUGGUCCUCCUGCUCCACCUAUGUAUUCGGGUAACCCAGUUCCAUGGGGAACCCCUGCUCCACCUCCUUAUGCUCCUUAUGCUCCUCCCCCUCCUCCUGGUUCGAACAUGUACUACCCUCCUAUGAGUCAGCCUAUGGCCGGUUAUGGUGCACGAUACCCUCCUCCCCCUGGUGCACCACCUCCACCCUCCAGUGAAGCACAGCAGAGUUACCCUCCUCCAGGAGUUCAAUCUGAAAAUUCUAGCCAACCUAUACCAACUAAUAUGUAUGGGAGCUCUCUGCCAGCAAUGCCACCAAAUGGCCAACAUACUUAUCCUGCAUCUUCAUAUGGUUACUCAUCUUACUACAAUGCUGUUCCACCUCCUCCUCCACCUCCCUCAACUGCAGACCAAUCUCAGAGCAUUGGUAAUGUGCCAUGGGCAACAAGUACUCCCCCUCCC